This 254-nucleotide ribosomal RNA is filed under the name uncultured bacterium. Its description in RNAcentral is "partial 16S ribosomal RNA". It matches the Rfam family "Bacterial small subunit ribosomal RNA", at positions 524 to 776 of the family's 1533-position model. The record is from RNAcentral.
UACAGAGGUCCCAAGCGUUGUUCGGAUUUACUGGGCGUAAAGGGCGCGUAGGCGGCCACCGCAAGUCGACUGUGAAAUCUCCGGGCUUAACCCGGAAAGGUCAGCCGAUACUGCGGGGCUAGAGUGCAGAAGGGGCAACUGGAAUUCUCGGUGUAGCGGUGAAAUGCGUAGAUAUCGAGAGGAACACCUGCGGCGAAGGCGGGUUGCUGGGCUGACACUGACGCUGAUGCGCGAAAGCUAGGGGAGCGAACGGG